AUUGAACGCUGGCGGAAUGCUUUACACAUGCAAGUCGAACGGCAGCACGGGGGCAGCCCUGGUGGCGAGUGGCGAACGGGUGAGUAAUACAUCGGAACGUGCCUGGUCGUGGGGGAUAACGUAGCGAAAGUUACGCUAAUACCGCAUACGAUCUGAGGAUGAAAGCGGGGGACCUUCGGGCCUCGCGCGAUCGGAGCGGCCGAUGUCAGAUUAGGUAGUUGGUGGGGUAAAGGCCUACCAAGCCGACGAUCUGUAGCUGGUCUGAGAGGACGACCAGCCACACUGGGACUGAGACACGGCCCAGACUCCUACGGGAGGCAGCAGUGGGGAAUUUUGGACAAUGGGCGCAAGCCUGAUCCAGCCAUUCCGCGUGCAGGACGAAGGCCUUCGGGUUGUAAACUGCUUUUGUACGGAACGAAAAGGCUCUGGCUAAUACCUGGGGCUCAUGACGGUACCGUAAGAAUAAGCACCGGCUAACUACGUG
This 484-nucleotide ribosomal RNA is filed under the name uncultured bacterium. RNAcentral's name for it is "partial 16S ribosomal RNA". It matches the Rfam family "Bacterial small subunit ribosomal RNA", at positions 30 to 507 of the family's 1533-position model. The record is from RNAcentral.